GAAUAUUCUAAACAAUAAGUAGUAUCAAAAAUGGCUCUGAUCUUGAAAAGUUCUUGGUUUGCAAAUAUUGUAUGUUGUUAGUGGGCAUGUGCAGGUUGUGCUGUCGAAUCCAGUGGACGAUAAAUGCCCAUUCAUGGCAAUGAAAGCAAAGGUGACUCCUUCACAGAGAGCGAGAGACAAGCCCCAUGACCCAUGGGUUUACUUGGAGAAAAACAGUGGCACAGUUUACUGUGCACAUUGUACCUGUAUGGCCGGCUUAGGUGAAGUGUGCAGCCAUGUUGGAGCACUCUUGUUUAAGGUUGAGAUGAGUGUCAACUAGUCAGGCCUGUCAGUGGAAUAGUACUUUCCGAAGAGUGUAUUGUCACCAAGAGUCCCACACUUAUUCUGUUAACAUUUGCAAGGAAGCCCCACACCAAAAGAACAAAAGUAAAUUUGGACAUUCAUGGCAACUGAACCAAUGGAUGUGGAGUCAAUGAUUAGAUGUCGAAAAUGAGAUUCUGAAG
This 503-nucleotide long non-coding RNA is filed under the name Gigantopelta aegis. Its description in RNAcentral is "uncharacterized LOC121370421, transcript variant X1". The record is from RNAcentral. Lineage: Eukaryota; Metazoa; Mollusca; Gastropoda; Neomphalida; Peltospiridae.